UAUUAUUCAUCCUUCUCCUUCACCCUACCCCUUUGCGUAAAAUAUUUCGCCUGGUUGCCAUGGUGGAGAGGUCAUACCCGUUCC
RNAcentral lists this ribosomal RNA (84 nucleotides) under Treponema pallidum subsp. pallidum str. Chicago. Lineage: Bacteria; Pseudomonadati; Spirochaetota; Spirochaetia; Treponematales; Treponemataceae. The record is from RNAcentral.